RNAcentral lists this transfer RNA (72 nucleotides) under Cordylochernes scorpioides. RNAcentral describes it as "tRNA-Ala". Lineage: Eukaryota; Metazoa; Arthropoda; Arachnida; Pseudoscorpiones; Chernetidae. The record is from RNAcentral.
UGGAGAUACCGGGGAUCGAACCCGGGACCUUUCACAUGCAAAGCGGACGCUCUACCACUGAGCUAUAUCCCC